AGAGUUUGAUCCUGGCUCAGGGCGAACGCUGGCGGCACGCCUCAUACAUGCAAGUCGAGCGAUCGGCUACUGGGUGCUUGCACUCGGUAGUACGGAGCGGCGAACGGGUGAGUAACACGUGGGCAAUCUGCCUCGAGGACGGGGACAACUCCGGGAAACUGGAGCUAAUACCCGAUAACCCGGUUGGAUCGCAUGGUCCGAUCGGCAAAUGGUUCUUCCGCCUCGAGAGGAGCCCGCGGCCUAUCAGCUUGUUGGUGGGGUAACGGCCUACCAAGGCGAUGACGGGUAGCCGGCCUGAGAGGGUGUUCGGCCACACCGGGACUGAGACACGGCCCGGACUCCUACGGGAGGCAGCAGUAGGGAAUCUUCCGCAAUGGACGAAAGUCUGACGGAGCAACGCCGCGUGAGUGAUGAAGGCUUUCGGGUCGUAAAACUCUGUUGUUAGGGAAGAACAAGUGCUAGUUGAAUAAGCUGGCACCUUGACGGUACCUAACCAGAAAGCCACGGCUAACUACGUGCCAGCAGCCGCGGUAAUAGCCCGUACGUCAGAAGAAGGUCCGGCUAACUACGUGCCAGCAGCCGCGGUAAUA
RNAcentral lists this ribosomal RNA (590 nucleotides) under uncultured bacterium. RNAcentral describes it as "bacterial SSU rRNA". It matches the Rfam family "Bacterial small subunit ribosomal RNA", at positions 9 to 546 of the family's 1533-position model. The record is from RNAcentral.